UUCUUCCUGAAGGGGUUCCUUGAUUGCUGCUACAAUUGUCUGAGAAUAUGGGACUCUCGCUUCUUCACUCUUCCAAAGAAGACUCUGCCAGUGAUUUCCCAGAAGCCUUCUGUCUCAGACUAGGGUAGCACCAUUGAUCCCUCUUGUUAUGGGGUUCAGCCUCUUGGACUGCGAAGCUACUGGUUCUUCCAGCUCUCCAGCCUGCAGAUGGCCAUUGUGGUCUAUCCAGCUUCUGGUCAUGUCAAUGGUUCCAGUGUCCUCUGUCUCAUCCAGACUGAAGGGAGAAGAAUGAGAAAAUCCUACUCAUUAUUCCCUCCUCCUCUCUCAGCCCUGGUCUCCUUGAAGUAGCUCUAACAGAAAAUCCUCCAAUCUCCCACUUUUCAAGGAACAAUUUCUUCUCCUGUAAGAAUGUUUCAAUAAUUAGCUGAAUUUUGAAUAUUUACAUGAAAUAAAAAAGCAAAACAAAACUAAA
Marmota monax (woodchuck) is the source of this 472-nucleotide long non-coding RNA. RefSeq lists it as uncharacterized. The transcript is spliced from 2 exons. NCBI's taxonomy places the organism in Eukaryota, Metazoa, Chordata, Mammalia, Rodentia, Sciuridae. The record is from RefSeq and is a predicted model, not a curated record.